RNAcentral lists this ribosomal RNA (135 nucleotides) under Scirtothrips dorsalis. RNAcentral describes it as "partial 16S ribosomal RNA". The record is from RNAcentral. Lineage: Eukaryota; Metazoa; Arthropoda; Insecta; Thysanoptera; Thripidae.
GGUUGGUUUCUAUCCUAAAUAUAUUUUUUUUUAUAGUACGAAAGGACCUAAAAAAUUAAUUUUAUUAAUUAAUUAGCUUAUUUAAAGCAUGUAUUUUGAAAAUACAAGAUAGAUUAUAAAAAAUUUAUUAAUUUU